CAGCACCUCAAGUGGUCAGGAUGAUUAUUGGGCCUAAAGCAUCCGUAGCCGGCGCUGUAAGUUUUCGGUUAAAUCUGUACGCUCAACGUACAGGCUGCCGGGAAUACUGCAGCGCUAGGGAGUGGGAGAGGUAGACGGUACUCAGUAGGAAGGGGUAAAAUCCUUUGAUCUAUUGAUGACCACCUGUGGCGAAGGCGGUCUACCAGAACACGUCCGACGGUGAGGGAUGAAAGCUGGGGGAGCAAACCGGAUUAGAGACCCGAGUAGUCC
RNAcentral lists this ribosomal RNA (270 nucleotides) under uncultured archaeon. RNAcentral describes it as "partial 16S ribosomal RNA". It matches the Rfam family "Archaeal small subunit ribosomal RNA", at positions 477 to 747 of the family's 1478-position model. The record is from RNAcentral.